AAAAAAACUCUACAUGAAUAUUUGUUUUUUUAUUUUUUCUUUCUAACUUCUGAAAUUUAUAUUUUAUCUUCUUAAAAUUUUAGAAAUAUUUUCAGAGAGUUACGAUAUUAAUAAAAUAUGGCUAAUCUAGAUCAAAUUGUCUUUUACUUAUUUUAUAAGGAAAUUUUUUUAAUGUAUUUUUAUUAUUUUUUAGAGGAUUUUCGAUGUAAGUUUUAAGAAAUAAAUAAAACUGUGAUGGAAUCCUGACAAAGGAGUAUUAAAUACAUUAACUAAAAAUUUUGAGGAAUAAAUAUAAAUUUUUAAAAUAAAAAAAUAAAA
This 318-nucleotide long non-coding RNA is filed under the name Ananas comosus (pineapple). Its description in RNAcentral is "long non-coding RNA (ACOM_LNC003999)". The record is from RNAcentral. Lineage: Eukaryota; Viridiplantae; Streptophyta; Magnoliopsida; Poales; Bromeliaceae.